CCUACGGGAGGCAGCAGUGGGGAAUAUUGCACAAUGGGGGAAACGCUGAUGCAGCGACGCCGCGUGAGUGACGAAGUAAUUCGUUGUGUAAAGCUCUAUCAGCAGGGAAGAAAAUGACGGUCCCUGAGUAAUAAGCCCCGUCUAACUACGUGCCAGCAGCCGCGGUACUACGUAGGGGGCAAGCGUUAUCCGGAGUUACUGGGUGUAAAGGGAACUUAGACGGCAGGGCAAGUCUGGAGUGAAAGGCGGGGACUCAACCCCCGGACUCCUCUGGAAACUGUACGGCUGGAGUGCAGGAGAGGUAAGUGGAAUGCGUAGUGUAGCGGUGAAAUGCGUAGAUAUUAGGAGGAACACCAGUGGCGAAGGCGGCUUACGGGACUGUAACUGACGUUGAGGCUCGAAAGCGUGGGGAGCAAACAGGAUUAGAUACCCGGGUAGUC
This 440-nucleotide ribosomal RNA is filed under the name uncultured bacterium. Its description in RNAcentral is "partial 16S ribosomal RNA". It matches the Rfam family "Bacterial small subunit ribosomal RNA", at positions 338 to 795 of the family's 1533-position model. The record is from RNAcentral.